Molecule: RNA transcript, 2522 nt
Organism: Strigops habroptila (Kakapo)
Lineage: Eukaryota; Metazoa; Chordata; Aves; Psittaciformes; Psittacidae
Gene: SLC38A8
Gene name: solute carrier family 38 member 8
Exons: 10
Source: RefSeq, a predicted model, not a curated record
CCCCGCCGGGAUGGAGCGUGCGGGCGAGGCCCGGCCCCUGCUGCCGCCGCCGGGUCCCGCCAGGCUCUCCUCCGCCGGCGCCGUCUGCAUCCUGCUCAAGUCGGCGCUGGGCGCGGGGCUGCUGAGCUUCCCCUGGGCCUUCGGCAGGGCCGGCGGAGCUGUCCCGGCCCUCCUGGUGGAGCUGGGCUCGCUGGUCUUCCUGGUGAGCGGGCUGGCGGUGCUGGGCUACGCGGCGGCCCUCAGCGCCCAGCCCACCUACCAGGGGGUGGUCCGGGCAGUGUGCGGGGCAGCAGUGGGAAAGCUCUGCGAGGUCUGCUUCCUCCUCAACCUCUUCAUGAUCUCCGUGGCCCUCCUCAGGGUGGUGGGCGACCAGCUGGAGAAACUGUGUGACUCCCUGUACCCCAACGGGACGCUGAGUGGAGCCCCCCUGUCACUGCCCUGGUAUGCAGACCAGCGCUUCACUCUCUCAGCUCUCUGUGUCUUUGUCAUCUUCCCGCUCUCUGUCCCCAAGGAGAUCGGCUUCCAGAAGUACUCCAGCAUCCUGGGCACUCUCGCUGCCUGUUACCUCACCCUGGUCAUCAUCCUGAAAUACCACCUGCAGACAGAGAGCCUGGGCUCACCUGAGCCCCCCCCACCCUCCAGGGCCUCCUCCUGGGCCUCCGUUUUCAGCGUCAUCCCCACCAUCUGCUUCGGCUUCCAGUGCCACGAGGCCUGCGUGGCCAUCUACAGCAGCAUGCGCAACCAGAGCUUCUCCCACUGGGUCGCCGUCUCUGUGCUCUCCAUGCUCAUCUGCCUGCUCAUCUACUCCCUCACGGGGCUCUAUGGCUACCUGACCUUCGGCGAGGCCGUGGCACCCGACGUCCUAAUGUCCUACCCGGGGAAUGACCCGGUUGUCAUUGUUGCCCGCCUGCUCUUCGGUGUCUCCAUCAUCACCAUCUACCCCAUCGUGGUGCUGCUGGGCAGGUCAGUGGUGCGGGAUGUGUGGGUGACUCCCAAGCGCAGAGCCGCGGCAGUGCCCGAGGCACAGGAGCAGCGAAGCCGGGUGGCGCUGACGGUCACCUGGAUGGCCGCCACGCUCGCCAUCGCCCUGUUCGUCCCAGACAUCGGCAAGGUCAUUGAGCUCAUUGGGGGCAUCAGUGCCUUCUUCAUCUUCAUCUUCCCAGGGCUGUGCCUGGUGUGCAUGACUGGGACCCGCACCCUCGGGCCACGCAAAAAGUGAGUGUCUGCACGCUUGGAGUGGUGGGAAAGGGCAGGGGGGCAGCUUCCCAUGAUCCGUGGCCCCAGCAAGGCCCCUGCGGUCACCCUGGCCAAGGCAGGAGGAGUCUCAUGAGGAGGGGGAUUUGAGGCACCUGUAGGCACUGGCAGCAGGACCCUGUGGUGGGGCUGAAGGGUGGGUAUGGAGGGAUGUGCCUCUAACAUGGAGGAUGUGCCUGGGUACCACAGUUGAGUCCAGGCACUGAGGAGGUGUCCAUAAAUUGGAAAUGUGCCUGUGCACCAGGGGUGUGCCCAGGGAUGUGACAAGGGAUCAGGGAUGUGUACCAGACCCCUUGAGCGAGGUUUGGAGACACUGCGGCAUACAGUGGUGACUUCAGUGGGGGUCAGAGGGCCAUGGUGCUCCAAGGCUGCAAAAGCCCAUGUUAGGGGGACCUGGUAUGUUGCUGGUGAGUUUUGGGGUAAGCAUGUGCCAAAGUGUGUCUCUGCCCCUGGGGGAGCAGCGGAGUCUGAGUGAGGAUGGAGGUGAUGUGUGUGGGGUCCUGUCCCCCAUGGCAGCUGGAGGGAGCACCCCGGGACCUUGGGGUCUUGGGCAGGAGGUUGGCCUGGGGGACCCACGGCUGUGUGGGCAGGAGGGAGGGUGACUCUGGGGAUGCCAAAGCGCUGGGAGGCCAAGGCAGGCAGUGAGCAGGGGCACCCAGGUGAGCAACAAGGACUUGGAGAGGUCCAUCAGGGAGACCCACCAGAGUGUGAACCUGGGACUGCCAUCACCAUGAGAGGGGACAACAUGAUCCAGGGUGAUGGGGACAGCGAGGGACAGUCCCAGCCUGCCUGGGGCAGUUUGGGAAGGCGCACAGUGCUGAUGACCCCACGAUGGAGCAGCAGUGGGGUUUGGGUGGGCACAGGGGAUGCGCUGGAGGGCCUACUGGGGUCUUCAGCCAUCCGUGAUGCAGAGGAAUGUGGCAGAGGAAGCUGAGACCCUGCAGAAGGCUCCACACAUGGGGCUCAGGGGGUUGCAUGUUACUGGGGGUCAGUUUGGUCCCACCAGCCCCUGCUUGUGUCCCCGCAGGGCAGCUCUCAUUGCCUGGGGUGUCCUCUCUGUGCUCAGUGGUGCCUUCGUCUGCGGGCAGAGUGCUGCCCUGGCCGUGCUGGGGCUGCUGCGCUGAGGGCCAUGGACCCCCCCUCAUCGUGCCCCCCAGCAUGACCCCUCCAACAUGCCCUGGGCACAGCUACACUGCUGGAUCUCAUCAUGGUUUUAUUUGGCAUGACCAUCCCCAUUGUACAGAAGCUAAUAAAGACAAGAGAGGGAA